RNAcentral lists this ribosomal RNA (429 nucleotides) under Acidobacteriota bacterium. RNAcentral's name for it is "Acidobacteria bacterium partial 16S ribosomal RNA". It matches the Rfam family "Bacterial small subunit ribosomal RNA", at positions 355 to 776 of the family's 1533-position model. Lineage: Bacteria; Pseudomonadati; Acidobacteriota. The record is from RNAcentral.
UGGGGAAUUUUGGACAAUGGGGGAAACCCUGAUCCAGCCAUCCCGCGUGUGCGAUGAAGGCCUUUGGGUUGUAAAGCACUUUUGGCAGGAAAGAAACGUCAUGGGUUAAUACCCCGUGAAACUGACGGUACCUGCAGAAUAAGCACCGGCUAACUACGUGCCAGCAGCCGCGGUAAUACGUAGGGUGCAAGCGUUAAUCGGAAUUACUGGGCGUAAAGCGUGCGCAGGCGGUUCGGAAAGAAAGAUGUGAAAUCCCAGAGCUCAACUUUGGAACUGCAUUUUUAACUACCGGGCUAGAGUGUGUCAGAGGGAGGUGGAAUUCCGCGUGUAGCAGUGAAAUGCGUAGAUAUGCGGAGGAACACCGAUGGCGAAGGCAGCCUCCUGGGAUAACACGGACGCUCAUGCACGAAAGCGUGGGGAGCAAACAGG